UACGGGGGGAGCAAGCGUUGUUCGGAUUUACUGGGCGUAAAGGGCGCGUAGGCGGCCACCGCAAGUCGACUGUGAAAUCUCCGGGCUUAACCCGGAAAGGUCAGCCGAUACUGCGGGGCUAGAGUGCAGAAGGGACAACUGGAAUUCUCGGUGUAGCGGUGAAAUGCGUAGAUAUCGAGAGGAACACCUGCGGCGAAGGCGGGUUGCUGGGCUGACACUGACGCUGAUGCGCGAAAGCUAGGGGAGCGAACGGG
This 254-nucleotide ribosomal RNA is filed under the name uncultured bacterium. Its description in RNAcentral is "partial 16S ribosomal RNA". It matches the Rfam family "Bacterial small subunit ribosomal RNA", at positions 524 to 776 of the family's 1533-position model. The record is from RNAcentral.